RNAcentral lists this ribosomal RNA (701 nucleotides) under uncultured Oscillatoriales cyanobacterium. RNAcentral describes it as "bacterial SSU rRNA". It matches the Rfam family "Bacterial small subunit ribosomal RNA", at positions 94 to 825 of the family's 1533-position model. Lineage: Bacteria; Bacillati; Cyanobacteriota; Cyanophyceae; Oscillatoriales. The record is from RNAcentral.
AGUGGCGGACGGGUGAGUAACGCGUGAGAAUCUGGCUUCAGGAGGGGGACAACAGUUGGAAACGACUGCUAAUACCCCAUAUGUCUACGGAUGAAACGGUGAAUUCCGCCUGAAGAUGAGCUCGCGUCGGAUUAGCUAGUUGGUGAGGUAAAGGCUCACCAAGGCGACGAUCCGUAGCUGGUCUGAGAGGAUGAUCAGCCACACUGGGACUGAGACACGGCCCAGACUCCUACGGGAGGCAGCAGUGGGGAAUUUUCCGCAAUGGGCGAAAGCCUGACGGAGCAACGCCGCGUGCGGGAAGACGGCCUGUGGGUUGUAAACCGCUUUUCUCUGGGAAGAAUAAGUUGACGGUACCAGAGGAAUCAGCAUCGGCUAACUCCGUGCCAGCAGCCGCGGUAAUACGGAGGAUGCAAGCGUUAUCCGGAAUUAUUGGGCGUAAAGCGUCCGCAGGCGGCUUAUCAAGUCUGCUGUUAAAGGUCGGGGCUCAACUCCGGUUAGGCAGUGGAAACUGAUAGGCUAGAGUGUGGUAGGGGUAGAGGGAAUUCCCAGUGUAGCGGUGAAAUGCGUAGAUAUUGGGAAGAACACCAGUGGCGAAGGCGCUCUACUGGGCCACAACUGACGCUGAGGGACGAAAGCUAGGGGAGCGAAAGGGAUUAGAUACCCCUGUAGUCCUAGCUGUAAACGAUGGACACUAGGUGUUG